GACGAACGCUGGCGGCGUGCUUAACACAUGCAAGUCGUACGGUAAGGCCCUUUCGGGGGUACACGAGUGGCGAACGGGUGAGUAACACGUGAGUAACCUGCCCACAACUUUGGGAUAACGCUAGGAAACUGGUGCUAAUACUGGAUAUGUGCUCCUGCUGCAUGGUGGGGGUUGGAAAGCUCCGGCGGUUGUGGAUGGACUCGCGGCCUAUCAGCUUGUUGGUGGGGUAGUGGCCUACCAAGGCGGCGACGGGUAGCCGGCCUGAGAGGGUGACCGGCCACAUUGGGACUGAGAAACGGCCCAGACUCCGACGGGAGGAAGAAGGGGGGAAUAUGGCAAAAGGGGGGAAAGCCUGAUGCAGAAACGCCGGGGGCGGGAUGACGGCCUUCGGGUUGUAAACCGUUUUCAGCAGGGAAGAAGCUUUUUGUGAGGGUACCUGCAGAAGAAGCACCGGCAAAAUAAGG
This 464-nucleotide ribosomal RNA is filed under the name uncultured bacterium. Its description in RNAcentral is "partial 16S ribosomal RNA". It matches the Rfam family "Bacterial small subunit ribosomal RNA", at positions 28 to 506 of the family's 1533-position model. The record is from RNAcentral.